RNAcentral lists this long non-coding RNA (1522 nucleotides) under Arabidopsis lyrata. RNAcentral describes it as "long non-coding RNA (ALYR_LNC001771)". The record is from RNAcentral. Lineage: Eukaryota; Viridiplantae; Streptophyta; Magnoliopsida; Brassicales; Brassicaceae.
UCUAUAUUGGUUGUUCACUUAACGAAUGCAUUGACAUAGAUGCACACAUACAUACAUGAUUCUUUGUAUGAUUAUAUGUUAACUUACUUGCUUCCUCAUUUUCUGUCUCCAUUCCUUGGUUCGUCAUUUACUUUUGUACCUUCAUUCCUUAGUUCCUUGCGUGUGUUUACUUGUUUCCUUAUUUUUCUUCUUUGAUUCUUUGCUUAUGUACUUGUUACAUGCAUUAAUACAUUCAUACACUGGAUACGUACAUUCAUACAUGCAUACAUACAUAGCAUACAUACAUUCAUCUAUGCAUACACACAUAUGUAUACUUGCAUACUUCCUUGUACACAUUCAUAAUUGCUUGUCUGUUUCUUUGAUUCGUUGUUUACUUCUUUGCUUCCUUGAUUCUUUGUCCGGUUCUUUGCUUACUUGUUUUUCUGCCUUCAUGGCUUGCUUGCUUAAUUUCCAGUUUCCUUGGUUUGUUUUUAACUUCAUUGUGUGCUUGUUUGCUUCCUUACUUUUGUCCUUGCUUAAUUGUUUGCUCUCUUAUUUCAUUGUUUGCUUGUUGGCUUCCUUAUUUCAUGACUUGCUUGCUUAAUUUCUAGUUUCCAUGGUUUGUUUUUUACUUCAUUGUGUGCUUGUCUGCUUCCUUAUUUUCAUGACUUGCUUGUUUAAUUUCCAGUUUCCUUGGUUUGUUUUUAACUUCCUUGUGUGCUUGUUUGCUUCCUUCCUUUUGUCCCUGCUUGUUUCCUUGAUUCCUUGCUUACUUGUUUGCUCUCUUAUUUCAUUGGGUGCUUGUUUGCUUCCUUAUUUUCAUGACUUGCUUGCUUAAUUUCCAGUUUCCUUGGUUUGUUUUUUACUUCAUUGUGUGCUUGUUUGCUUCCUUCCUUGUGUCCUUGCUUGCUUAUUUCAUUGUGUGCUUGUUUGCUUCCUUAUUUUCUAUCAAAAUAUGCAUUUUGCUUACAUAGUUCAUUGAGCGUCUGUCAAGAAAAAUUCCUUGUGGUCAUUAAUGUCGCUACCACAAAAAUAUCUCUUUAUCAAAUAACUUACUGGAAAGACAUAUGUGGAAUAAAUUUCGCUGGUCAAGUUCUAUGAUCAUUAUUCUCUCUAAUUUUUUAUUUGUUGGUUUUAAUUGUCAGGGUUUGAGUGAGACCCUGACACAACGUUUACUUGCAACCUUCUUCUAAACUGCCUCAUGGAAUCUCUGGCACAAGGUUUGAAUACCGUGUUUUUCCCUCAAAGUUCAACAGUUUGAUGCGAUGUCAUAGUUUCUAUACCAAAUCAGAUAAGGUAUAAAUGUUUUAACUCUGCUUGACCAACCGACCUAGACAAAGGUAUUCUAGAUAUGGAACUCGUUUGAUAUAGAUAUUCUGUCUUUUGUUCCUCUGAAUCACUCAGUUGAUUUCUAUCAUUAAUUUUGGUAUCUAGACAGAUAAUUUUGUCAUUUUUUGUUCCAGAAACAGAAAAUCAUCCAACAAUUGUGACCAUAUUCCUGCUUUUGUUCCAGAAGAAGAUUAAAUAAACUCCAUGGUUCUCU